Camellia sinensis is the source of this 344-nucleotide non-coding RNA. Lineage: Eukaryota; Viridiplantae; Streptophyta; Magnoliopsida; Ericales; Theaceae. The record is from RefSeq and is a predicted model, not a curated record.
CGGCGACGGCGACGGCGACGACGAUCUUCUCCAUCGUUCGAUCGACCAACAGCGACUGAAAGGCGAUCGGCGAUCUAUUUUGUUGUUUUUUUUUUGCUCCAUUUUCUGAGAAUCUCAGAUCCCUUUCUUCGACUGAAAGAGGAUCGUCGCCGAUCGUAGUGGUGGUGACUCACCAUUGUUUCUGAAAGCAAAGAGGUGGUGAGAGUCAGAGUGAAGAAGCUUACAGACAGGCAGUUCGAAAACCAGAGAGAAGAAGCUUACAUCAGUUUGAAAACCAAAGAGUUUUGAAAGCAAAGAGAUUGUGAGAUUAGAGUGUGAGGGUUCUACAUAGAGAGAGAGAGAGA